RNAcentral lists this ribosomal RNA (266 nucleotides) under Salmonella enterica subsp. enterica serovar Typhimurium. RNAcentral describes it as "partial 23S ribosomal RNA". It matches the Rfam family "Bacterial large subunit ribosomal RNA", at positions 454 to 722 of the family's 2925-position model. Lineage: Bacteria; Pseudomonadati; Pseudomonadota; Gammaproteobacteria; Enterobacterales; Enterobacteriaceae. The record is from RNAcentral.
CAUCCUCCAAGGCUAAAUACUCCUGACUGACCGAUAGUGAACCAGUACCGUGAGGGAAAGGCGAAAAGAACCCCGGCGAGGGGAGUGAAAAAGAACCUGAAACCGUGUACGUACAAGCAGUGGGAGCACCCUUCGGGGUGUGACUGCGUACCUUUUGUAUAAUGGGUCAGCGACUUAUAUUCUGUAGCAAGGUUAACCGAAUAGGGGAGCCGGAGGGAAACCGAGUCUUAAUUGGGCGUUAAGUUGCAGGGUAUAGACCCGAAACC